This 482-nucleotide ribosomal RNA is filed under the name uncultured bacterium. Its description in RNAcentral is "bacterial SSU rRNA". It matches the Rfam family "Bacterial small subunit ribosomal RNA", at positions 29 to 506 of the family's 1533-position model. The record is from RNAcentral.
UUGAACGCUGGCGGAAUGCUUUACACAUGCAAGUCGAACGGCGGCACGGGGGCAACCCUGGUGGCGAGUGGCGAACGGGUGAGUAACACAUCGGAACGCGUCCUGUAAUGGGGGAUAACCUGGCGAAAGCCAGGCUAAUACCGCAUACGUCCUGAGGGAGAAAGCGGGGGAUCGCAAGACCUCGCGUUAUAGGAGCGGCCGAUGUCGGAUUAGCUAGUUGGUGGGGUAAAGGCCUACCAAGGCGACGAUCCGUAGCGGGUCUGAGAGGACGGCCCGCCACACUGGGACUGAGACACGGCCCAGACUCCUACGGGAGGCAGCAGUGGGGAAUUUUGGACAAUGGGCGCAAGCCUGAUCCAGCCAUUCCGCGUGAGUGAAGAAGGCCUUCGGGUUGUAAAGCUCUUUCAGCAGGAACGAAACGGUCGGCUUUAAUAAAGUCGGCUAAUGACGGUACCUGCAGAAGAAGCACCGGCUAACUACGU